AAGCAGAUAGCUUAAAUAUAAAGCAUAACACUGAAGAUGUUAUUAUAGAGAUUCUCUUCUGCUUA
Molecule: transfer RNA, 65 nt
Filed under: Doto coronata
Lineage: Eukaryota; Metazoa; Mollusca; Gastropoda; Nudibranchia; Dotidae
Description: tRNA-Phe
Rfam family: tRNA
About the family: Transfer RNA (tRNA) molecules are approximately 80 nucleotides in length.
Source: RNAcentral